GAUGCUUAUUAUUAGAUCCAUAUCAGUCCAUUAGUUAUCAUAUACGAGCCAUUGGAAAGUGAUUCAAGGUGAUAGUCCAUAGUGUCUUAAGCCAUUAAUGGACCUUGACUACCAUCUCUAUUGACUUAUAUGGAUUAAAUUUUCAUUGUCAAACCUAUACCGGUUCGGGAAAUAACUAUAGGUUAAAUCCCCAAUGCGAGGAGAAAAAUCCGGAAUUUUCCACUUUGCAUCCUGAACUUGAACCUAGCAACCUUU
This 255-nucleotide long non-coding RNA is filed under the name Vitis vinifera (wine grape). RNAcentral's name for it is "long non-coding RNA (VVIN_LNC000824)". The record is from RNAcentral. Lineage: Eukaryota; Viridiplantae; Streptophyta; Magnoliopsida; Vitales; Vitaceae.